UUCACUUCAGCGGCGAAACUGGCUGGCGCGACAAUGUCUACGCCGGGACAAUUCUUUCUUACUGUAUUGUAAACUGUUCGAAUUUGAAAUUAACUGACUGGAAACGUAGAAGGUGAAGAAUCAAGAUUACCUUCAACUGUCUAGCCACCUCCUUGGCAUGUAAAAUGCAAGCCAGUUUUGAUUGAGCAUAAGCACGCGUGCCAUUGUACCUGCAGACAUUCCAAAUCCAAAACCCCAAACAGGGUUUAGUUCGAUUCUCUGACCAUGGAUUGCUAUUGACCUGUAGCCAGCUAGUGAACACCUUGGUGAGUGAAGCAGAGAUCGUCCUUCUUCACCCAGCAGUGGACAACAGAAGAGACGUUUAUAAUUCUUCCUUGGAUGCCUGUUCUCCUUGAUGUUUCUAUCAAUUUGUCUAAAAGCAGUUCUGUCAGAAGGAUGUACGGAUUAAGGUUUGGAGGUGGAUACAAGAAGCGAUUUGGUUAAAUCCAUUUAGUUUCGAACGCCCUCCUGACAAAUUUAGGGAAAUGAAGCCUCGAGCUGAAGACAACCAAGCCGACCAUAAUUCAAUUGAUCAAAAGGUAAUCUUGGACUUGACUUGUUGAGAAGAAAGGUGGAAUGUAGCGUGUAGAGCCCAUAUAAAGCACAGUCAAACUCUAGCAGUAUAAUAUCCGCGCAUCUUGGGGAUUAUAAGUUUAAGGUGAUUGUACACUAUUCAUUGGCAUCUCUAUUAGAAUAGAAUAUUAUUUUGGGACAAGGAGGACCCAUUGUGUUUUGAAAUUUGAUUCGCUUGGUUGAAACAAUGUUUGUGUUGAUUAAUUUGACGUGUGAAGUUGGGCUUGUAACAGUGACAUGGAUAUGUCAUUUCAAAACAUAUAUUCAUGACAUGUCCAAAAAAGUGUGGAACAACAAGGAUUGAUUGGAAAGCUGGUAUGGCCUACUUUUUGC
Long non-coding RNA from Cucurbita maxima (winter squash), 945 nucleotides. RefSeq lists it as uncharacterized. The transcript is spliced from 5 exons. The record is from RefSeq and is a predicted model, not a curated record. Lineage: Eukaryota; Viridiplantae; Streptophyta; Magnoliopsida; Cucurbitales; Cucurbitaceae.